GCGGCUUGUUGGAAUCACGCAGCUUCUCUUCGAUGGAGAGCAUUUGCUGCAGCAGGAGCUUCUGCUGCAUCGUAGGCUUCUUCAGAGAGUUCAGAUAUUCACUAAAGCAUUUCAAUUCCUAGAAGAAUGACUGGACCAGAAAGGGUUAAAAGUGAUGGAAAUGCAUCGAGGACAUUUCGACCAGUGUUGCCCACUUCUGAUGUAAAGGGACCUUCCACAGAAUGGGCCCAUAAAAAUUUGGCCGUCAAUGCUGGGAACCAAUCCUGCAGCUUCAAGCUCAGCAGCAGAAUACCAUUCAAUGAGCCACAGUGGUGUGUAUGUCCUAGUACUUUAUAGAAGCAAAAGCACAAAAGGCACUGACCAGAUGAAAAGUUAAGUACCAUUUCAGAAUGCUGCUUGUUCACCACAACAUUCACCAACAUGAACGCUACCCGACUAGACAUGCCAAACUCUUGACUACUAUUUCGUACAAGCGACAGCCCCAAUGAGAGUUCUCACCACAGGG
This 505-nucleotide long non-coding RNA is filed under the name Dermacentor andersoni. RNAcentral describes it as "uncharacterized LOC126518100". Lineage: Eukaryota; Metazoa; Arthropoda; Arachnida; Ixodida; Ixodidae. The record is from RNAcentral.